RNAcentral lists this ribosomal RNA (516 nucleotides) under uncultured bacterium. RNAcentral describes it as "partial 16S ribosomal RNA". It matches the Rfam family "Bacterial small subunit ribosomal RNA", at positions 28 to 523 of the family's 1533-position model. The record is from RNAcentral.
GAUGAACGCUGGCGGCGUGCCUAAUACAUGCAAGUCGAACGCAUUGAGAGAAGUGCUUGCACUUUUCAAUUUGAGUGGCGAACGGGUGAGUAACACGUGGGCAACCUACCUGAUAGCGGGGGAUAACGAGUGGAAACAUUCGCUAAUACCGCAUAACAAUAGAGAAGGCAUCUUCUUUAUUUAAAAGGCGCUUUCAAGCGUCACUAUCAGAUGGGCCCGCGGUGCAUUAGUUAGUUAGUGGGGUGAAGGCCUACCAAGACGAUGAUGCAUAGCCGAGUUGAGAGACUGCUCGGCCACAUUGGGACUGAGACACGGCCCAAACUCCUACGGGAGGCUGCAGUAGGGAAUCUUCCACAAUGGACGAAAGUCUGAUGGAGCAACGCCGCGUGUGUGAUGAAGGCUUUCGGGUCGUAAAGCACUGUUGUAUGGGAAGAAAUGCUAGGCUAGGAAAUGAGCUUAGUUUGACGGUACCAUACCAGAAAGGGACGGCUAAAUACGUGCCAGCAGCCGCAGUAA